AUAGGGGAGCCGAAGGGAAACCGAGUCUUAACUGGGCGUUAAGUUGCAGGGUAUAGACCCGAAACCCGGUGAUCUAGCCAUGGGCAGGUUGAAGGUUGGGUAACACUAACUGGAGGACCGAACCGACUAAUGUUGAAAAAUUAGCGGAUGACUUGUGGCUGGGGGUGAAAGGCCAAUCAAACCGGGAGAUAGCUGGUUCUCCCCGAAAGCUAUUUAGGUAGCGCCUCGUGAACUCAUCUUCGGGGGUAGAGCACUGUUUCGGCUAGGGGGUCAUCCCGACUUACCAACCCGAUGCAAACUGCGAAUACCGAAGAAUGUUAUCACGGGAGACACACGGCGGGUGCUAACGUCCGUCGUGAAGAGGGAAACAACCCAGACCGCCAGCUAAGGUCCCAAAGUCACAGUUAAGUGGGAAACGAUGUGGGAAGGCUCAGACAGCCAGGAUGUUGGCUUAGAAGCAGCCAUCAUUUAAAGAAAGCGUAAUAGCUCACUGGUCGAGUCGGCCUGCGCGGAAGAUGUAACGGGGCUAAACUGUGCACCGAAGCUGCGGCAGCGACGCU
RNAcentral lists this ribosomal RNA (560 nucleotides) under Salmonella enterica subsp. enterica serovar Kentucky. Its description in RNAcentral is "partial 23S ribosomal RNA". It matches the Rfam family "Bacterial large subunit ribosomal RNA", at positions 657 to 1215 of the family's 2925-position model. The record is from RNAcentral. Lineage: Bacteria; Pseudomonadati; Pseudomonadota; Gammaproteobacteria; Enterobacterales; Enterobacteriaceae.